Molecule: ribosomal RNA, 253 nt
Filed under: uncultured bacterium
Lineage: Bacteria
Description: partial 16S ribosomal RNA
Rfam family: Bacterial small subunit ribosomal RNA
Source: RNAcentral
UACGAAGGGGGCUAGCGUUGUUCGGAUUUACUGGGCGUAAAGCGCACGUAGGCGGGUCUUUAAGUCAGAGGGGAAAUCCUGGAGCUCAACUCCAGAACUGCCUUUGAUACUGAGGAUCUAGAGUUCGGGAGAGGUGAGUGGAACUGCGAGUGUAGAGGUGAAAUUCGUAGAUAUUCGCAAGAACACCAGUGGCGAAGGCGGCUCACUGGCCCGAUACUGACGCUGAGGCACGAAAGCGUGGGGAGCAAACAGG